Molecule: transfer RNA, 74 nt
Filed under: Streptomyces mutabilis
Lineage: Bacteria; Bacillati; Actinomycetota; Actinomycetes; Kitasatosporales; Streptomycetaceae
Source: RNAcentral
GAUGCAGGAACAGCAGAUACGUGAAGGACGGCACCCCGGAGUUGAACACGAACACCAGCAGCACCCCCGCACGC